CCUACGGGAGGCAGCAGUGGGGAAUAUUGGACAAUGGGCGAAAGCCUGAUCCAGCAAUGCCGCGUGAGUGAUGAAGGCCUUCGGGUCGUAAAGCUCUUUUACCAGGGAUGAUAAUGACAGUACCUGGAGAAUAAGCUCCGGCUAACUCCGUGCCAGCAGCCGCGGUAAUACGGAGGGAGCUAGCGUUGUUCGGAAUUACUGGGCGUAAAGAGUACGUAGGCGGUUAUUCAAGUCAGAGGUGAAGGCCCGGGGCUCAACCCCGGAACUGCCUUUGAAACUAGAUAACUAGAGUCUUGGAGAGGUUAGUGGAAUUCCGAGUGUAGAGGUGAAAUUCGUAGAUAUUCGGAAGAACACCAGUGGCGAAGGCGACUAACUGGACAAGUACUGACGCUGAGGUACGAAAGCGUGGGGAGGCAAAACAGGAUUAGAUACCCUGGUAGUCCACGACCGUAAACGAUGAUAACUAAGUUGUUCGGUCACUUGGUGACUGAGUGACGCAGCUAACGCAUUAAGUUAUCCGCCUGGGGAGUACGGUCGUCAAAGAUUAAAAACUACAAAAGGAAUUAGACGG
This 571-nucleotide ribosomal RNA is filed under the name uncultured bacterium. Its description in RNAcentral is "bacterial SSU rRNA". It matches the Rfam family "Bacterial small subunit ribosomal RNA", at positions 338 to 916 of the family's 1533-position model. The record is from RNAcentral.